RNAcentral lists this ribosomal RNA (443 nucleotides) under uncultured bacterium. Its description in RNAcentral is "partial 16S ribosomal RNA". It matches the Rfam family "Bacterial small subunit ribosomal RNA", at positions 338 to 795 of the family's 1533-position model. The record is from RNAcentral.
CCUACGGGGGGCAGCAGUGGGGAAUAUUGGGCAAUGGGCGCAAGCCUGACCCAGCAACGCCGCGUGAAGGAAGAAGGCCCUCGGGUUGUAAACUUCUUUUGUCAGGGACGAAUAAAGUGACGGUACCUUACGAAUAAGCCACGGCUAACUAGGGGCCAGCAGCCGCGGUAAUCAGGAGGUGGCAAGCGUUAUCCGGAUUUACUGGGUGUAAAGGGAGUGUAGGCGGGACUGAAAGUCAGAUGUGAAAGUCCAGGGCUCAACCCUGGAACUGCAUUUGAAACUGUAGUUCUGGAGUGAUGGAGAGGCAGGCGGAAUUCCGGGUGUAGCGGUGAAAUGCGUAGAUAUAAGGAGGAACACCAGUGGCGAAGGCGGCCUGCUGGACAUUAACUGACGCUGAGGCGCGAAAGCGUGGGGAGCAAACAGGAUUAGAUACCCCUGUAGUC